RNAcentral lists this ribosomal RNA (1008 nucleotides) under Chlorociboria aeruginosa. RNAcentral describes it as "LSU rRNA". It matches the Rfam family "Eukaryotic large subunit ribosomal RNA", at positions 74 to 1401 of the family's 3401-position model. Lineage: Eukaryota; Fungi; Ascomycota; Leotiomycetes; Helotiales; Chlorociboriaceae. The record is from RNAcentral.
AUUACCUCAGUAGCGGCGAGCGAAGCGGUAACAGCUCAAAUUUGAAAUCUGGCCCUCCCAGGGCCCGAGUUGUAAUUUGGAGAAGAUGCUUUGGGUGCGGCCCGGGUCUAAGUUCCUUGGAACAGGACGUCAGAGAGGGUGAGAAUCCCGUAUGUGACUGGGUGCCCGCGCCCGUGUAAAGCUCUUUCGACGAGUCGAGUUGUUUGGGAAUGCAGCUCAAAAUGGGUGGUAUAUUUCAUCUAAAGCUAAAUACGGGCCAGAGACCGAUAGCGCACAAGUAGAGUGAUCGAAAGAUGAAAAGCACUUUGGAAAGAGAGUUAAACAGUACGUGAAAUUGUUGAAAGGGAAGCGCUUGCACCCAGACUUGCGCCUGGCGGAUCAUCCGGUGUUCUCACCGGUGCACUCCGUCGCGCGCAGGCCAGCAUCAGUUGGGGUGGUUGGAUAAAGGCCAGGGGAAUGUGACUCCCCUCGGGGAGUGUUAUAGCCCUUGGUGCCAUGCAGCCUACCCCGACUGAGGACCGCGCUUCGGCUAGGAUGCUGGCGUAAUGGUUGCAAGCGACCCGUCUUGAAACACGGACCAAGGAGUCUAACAUCUAUGCGAGUGUUUGGGUGUCAAACCCAUACGCGGAAUUAACGUGAACGGAGGUGAGACCCCUUCAGGGUGCAUCAUCGACCGAUCCUGAUGUCUUCGGAUGGAUUUGAGUAAGAGCAUAGCUGUUGGGACCCGAAAGAUGGUGAACUAUGCCUAAAUAGGGUGAAGCCAGAGGAAACUCUGGUGGAGGCUCGCAGCGGUUCUGACGUGCAAAUCGAUCGUCAAAUUUGGGUAUAGGGGCGAAAGACUAAUCGAACCAUCCGUGAAGGUGUUACAGCGCUAGGUGGUUAAGAAGGCUCUGAAAAUUGCACUUAGUCUCUGGCUAGAAGGCAACAUUAUCAAACUGUUCGGGGACGUCCUGUUAUUUCCAAGCUACCGCACUCGCCUCGAAAGAGCGUGCUGUGCACCCAGUUAGC